GCCGGGUGCAGGGGUGUUACCUGUAGUCCCAGCUACUCGGGAGGCUGAGGUGGGAGGAUCGCUUGAGCCCAGGAGUUCUGGGCUGUAGUACGCUAUCCUGAUCGGGUGUCCGCACUAAGUUCGGCAUCAAUAUGGUGACCUCCUGGGAGCCGCGGACCGCCAGGUUGCCUAAGGAGGGGUGAACCGGCCCAGGUCAGAAAUGGAGCAGGUCAAAACUCCCCUUCUGAUCAGUAGUGGGAUCAUGCCUAUGAAUAGCCACUGCACUCCAGCCUCGGCAACAUAGUGAGACCUCGUCUCU
This 298-nucleotide signal recognition particle RNA is filed under the name Cebus imitator (Panamanian white-faced capuchin). RNAcentral describes it as "Metazoan signal recognition particle RNA (ENSCCAG00000007764.1)". It matches the Rfam family "Metazoan signal recognition particle RNA". Rfam says of the family: The signal recognition particle (SRP) is a universally conserved ribonucleoprotein. It is involved in the co-translational targeting of proteins to membranes. The record is from RNAcentral. Lineage: Eukaryota; Metazoa; Chordata; Mammalia; Primates; Cebidae.